UACAGAGGUCUCAAGCGUUGUUCGGAUUCAUUGGGCGUAAAGGGUGUGUAGGUGGCGCCGUAAGUCGGGUGUGAAAUUUCGGAGCUUAACUCCGAAACUGCAUUCGAUACUGCGGCGCUUGAGGACUGGAGAGGAGACUGGAAUUCAUGGUGUAGCAGUGAAAUGCGUAGAGAUCAUGAGGAAGACCAGUGGCGAAGGCGGGUCUCUGGACAGUUCCUGACACUGAGACACGAAGGCCAGGGGAGCAAACGAG
This 253-nucleotide ribosomal RNA is filed under the name uncultured bacterium. RNAcentral's name for it is "partial 16S ribosomal RNA". It matches the Rfam family "Bacterial small subunit ribosomal RNA", at positions 524 to 776 of the family's 1533-position model. The record is from RNAcentral.